RNAcentral lists this ribosomal RNA (484 nucleotides) under uncultured bacterium. RNAcentral's name for it is "partial 16S ribosomal RNA". It matches the Rfam family "Bacterial small subunit ribosomal RNA", at positions 29 to 507 of the family's 1533-position model. The record is from RNAcentral.
AUUGAACGCUGGCGGCAUGCUUUACACAUGCAAGUCGAACGGCAGCGCGGGCUUCGGCCUGGCGGCGAGUGGCGAACGGGUGAGUAAUGCAUCGGAACGUGCCCAGUAGUGGGGGAUAGCCCGGCGAAAGCCGGAUUAAUACCUCAUACGACCUGAGGGUGAAAGCGGGGGACCGAAAGGCCUCGCGCUAUUGGAGCGGCCGAUGUCGGAUUAGCUAGUUGGUGGGGUAAAGGCUUACCAAGGCGACGAUCCGUAGCUGGUCUGAGAGGACGACCAGCCACACUGGGACUGAGACACGGCCCAGACUCCUACGGGAGGCAGCAGUGGGGAAUAUUGGACAAUGGGGGCAACCCUGAUCCAGCCAUGCCGCGUGCGGGAAGAAGGCCUUCGGGUUGUAAAACGCUUUUGUUCGGGAAGAAAUCCUCUGGGCUAAUACCCCGGGGGGAUGACGGUACCGGAAGAAUAAGCACCGGCUAACUACGUG